GGGUGCUGACGAGUGGCGAACGGGUGAGUAAUGCAUCGGAACGUGCCCAGAGGUGGGGGAUAACGCAGCGAAAGCUGUGCUAAUACCGCAUGUGAUCUGAGGAUGAAAGCGGGGGACCAAGCAGCAAUGUUUGGCCUCGCGCCUCUGGAGCGGCCGAUGUCAGAUUAGGUAGUUGGUGGGGUAAAGGCCUACCAAGCCGACGAUCUGUAGCUGGUCUGAGAGGGCGACCAGCCACACUGGGACUGAGACACGGCCCAGACUCCUACGGGAGGCAGCAGUGGGGAAUUUUGGACAAUGGGCGCAAGCCUGAUCCAGCAAUGCCGCGUGCGGGAAGAAGGCCUUCGGGUUGUAAACCGCUUUUGUACGGAACGAAAAGGCUCUGGCUAAUACCUGGGGCUGAUGACGGUACCGUAAGAAUAAGCACCGGCUAACUACGUGCCAGCAGCCGCGGUAAUACGUAGGGUGCGAGCGUUAAUCGGAAUUACUGGGCGUAAAGCGUGCGCAGGCGGUCUUGUAAGACAGAGGUGAAAUCCCUGGGCUCAGCCUAGGAAUGGCCUUUGUGACUGCAAGGCUGGAGUGCGGCAGAGGGGGAUGGAAUUCCGCGUGUAGCAGUGAAAUGCGUAGAUAUGCGGAGGAACACCGA
RNAcentral lists this ribosomal RNA (643 nucleotides) under uncultured beta proteobacterium. Its description in RNAcentral is "bacterial SSU rRNA". It matches the Rfam family "Bacterial small subunit ribosomal RNA", at positions 83 to 712 of the family's 1533-position model. The record is from RNAcentral. Lineage: Bacteria; Pseudomonadati; Pseudomonadota; Betaproteobacteria.